Molecule: ribosomal RNA, 370 nt
Filed under: uncultured organism
Description: partial 16S ribosomal RNA
Rfam family: Bacterial small subunit ribosomal RNA
Source: RNAcentral
AGAGGGUGCAAGCGUUAAUCGGACUUACUGGGCGUAAAGGGUGCGUAGGUGGAUGAUUAAGUUGGUGGUGAAAGCCCUGGGCUUAACCUAGGAAUUGCCACCAAGACUGACUGUCUAGAGUAUGGUAGAGGGAAGUGGAAUUUCCGGUGUAGCGGUGAAAUGCGUAGAGAUCGGAAGGAACACCAGUGGCGAAGGCGGCUUCCUGGCCCAAUACUGACACUGAGGCACGAAAGCGUGGGUAGCAAACAGGAUUAGAUACCCUGGUAGUCCACGCCGUAAACGAUGAGUACUAGAUGUUGGAUAGGUUACUAUUCGGUAUCGCAGCUAACGCAAUAAGUACUCCGCCUGGGGGAUUACGGCCGCAAGGCUA